Podarcis lilfordi (Lilford's wall lizard) is the source of this 72-nucleotide non-coding RNA. The record is from the annotation of a GenBank genome assembly. Lineage: Eukaryota; Metazoa; Chordata; Lepidosauria; Squamata; Lacertidae.
GCACUGAAUUGCCUUUGGUAGAGUGUGAGGCUCUUAAUCUCAGGGUCAUGGGUUUGAGCCCCACGAUGGGCA